Bacteroides coprosuis DSM 18011 is the source of this 73-nucleotide transfer RNA. It matches the Rfam family "tRNA". From Rfam's summary of the family: Transfer RNA (tRNA) molecules are approximately 80 nucleotides in length. Their secondary structure includes four short double-helical elements and three loops (D, anti-codon, and T loops). The record is from Rfam. NCBI's taxonomy places the organism in Bacteria, Pseudomonadati, Bacteroidota, Bacteroidia, Bacteroidales, Bacteroidaceae.
GCGAAAGUAGCUCAGUUGGUAGAGCACAACCUUGCCAAGGUUGGGGUCGCGGGUUCGAAUCCCGUCUUUCGCU